UGGGGAAUUUUCCGCAAUGGGCGCAAGCCUGACGGAGCAAGACCGCGUGAGGGAGGAAGGUUCUUGGAUUGUAAACCUCUUUUCUCUGGGAAGAAAAAAAUGACGGUACCAGAGGAAUAAGCAUCGGCUAACUCCGUGCCAGCAGCCGCGGUAAGACGGAGGAUGCAAGCGUUAUCCGGAAUGAUUGGGCGUAAAGCGUCCGCAGGUGGUUUUUCCAGUCUGCUGUUAAAGACCGGGGCUUAACUCCGGGCAGGCAGUGGAAACUGAAAGACUAGAGUAUGGUAGGGGCAGAGGGAAUUCCUGGUGUAGCGGUGAAAUGCGUAGAGCUCAGGAAGAACAUCGGUGGCGAAGGCGCUCUGCUAGGCCAAAACUGACACUCAGGGACGAAAGCUAGGGGAGCGAAUGGG
This 407-nucleotide ribosomal RNA is filed under the name uncultured Phormidium sp. RNAcentral describes it as "bacterial SSU rRNA". It matches the Rfam family "Bacterial small subunit ribosomal RNA", at positions 355 to 776 of the family's 1533-position model. Lineage: Bacteria; Bacillati; Cyanobacteriota; Cyanophyceae; Oscillatoriales; Oscillatoriaceae. The record is from RNAcentral.